RNAcentral lists this ribosomal RNA (216 nucleotides) under Glomeromycotina sp. RNAcentral's name for it is "partial small subunit ribosomal RNA". The stretch from base 44 to 216 matches the Rfam family "Eukaryotic small subunit ribosomal RNA", at positions 690 to 864 of the family's 1831-position model. The record is from RNAcentral. Lineage: Eukaryota; Fungi; Glomeromycota.
GGGUCAGUAGGUUGGUCGUGCCACCGGUACGUACUGGUCUCACUGAUUCCUCCUUCCUGAAGAACCGUAAUGCCAUUAAUUUGGUGUUGCGGGGAAACAGGACUGCUACUUUGAAAAAAUCAGAGUGUUUAAAGCAAGCUAACGCUUGAAUACAUUAGCAUGGAAUAAUGAAAUAGGACGAUCGAUCCUAUUUUGUUGGUUUCUAGGAUUGACGUA